RNAcentral lists this long non-coding RNA (757 nucleotides) under Bos taurus (domestic cattle). RNAcentral's name for it is "long non-coding RNA NONBTAT016504". Lineage: Eukaryota; Metazoa; Chordata; Mammalia; Artiodactyla; Bovidae. The record is from RNAcentral.
UGAAAAUUGAGUGCUGAAUGCCCUGUGUGCUGUCCAUACUAAGGCCCGAGGACCGAGAGUGCUGAGUGCAGCAGGGACAUGUCAUUCAAAGCAGUCAGCUGGAAAGUGCAAUCUCUCUUGAAGACUUUUUUCUUUCCAAACCCCAAUCAUCUACUUGGAAAGAGCCAAAGUAAAAUGUCUUCCGCCAGCCUAUCUCAAAUACUUCACAUGUGUAGCAUAUAACAUUCUUCCUAGUCAAAAAACAAUAUAUAAAUGUAUUAGAAUGUUCCUAGGCACAUGUCAAGAACAAUUUUAAUGAAUAAAAAUUCUGUUUUGUUCAGUACAUCCAAAAUGCAAUAGUCAUAUUAAGAUACACAGAAGUAUUUUUUUUUUACUUCAGGAGAUUAAGUUUCAUAAAUUAGACCUCCACUAGUUUACAUAAAAUGUCAACCUUUUGAAAAAGAGAGUGGAAGUCCUGCCAGAAGUUUACUCCUGUUCACAUCUUCUGCUCCCUUUCUGUGUAAACAUUUACUUUGAAUUUUUUAAAACUUUGAAAUAGUAGUUAUGUAAGUUCAGUCUCAUUUGAUCAUAAGUUUCUCUUCUUAAAAAAAUCUUUCUCAGAACAUAUUCAUUUAGAAACGUGUUAACGUAUAAUGAUGUAAAAAUAUUUUAUGCCAUAUGUUAUAAUCACCUCGCAACCUAAGUGAGAAAAUGAUGAAAGUUCAAAAGAUUUGGCACAGGAAGAACACUAAACAAAUUCUGGGAAUAAAAAAGGCUU